Long non-coding RNA from Symphalangus syndactylus (siamang), 401 nucleotides. RefSeq lists it as uncharacterized. The record is from RefSeq and is a predicted model, not a curated record. Lineage: Eukaryota; Metazoa; Chordata; Mammalia; Primates; Hylobatidae.
UUUUUUUUUUUUUUUUUUUUUUUUUUUUUUUUUUUUUUUUCCCAGAAUUCCUUCCCUGCCUGUUUCUAUUUAGGGAGGGUGGUUGUGAAGUAGCAGCCAUUUUGUUUUUAUGCUCAAAAGGUUGGGCAGGAUGCUUUGGUAGCUCGCAUACAUUGUUACUUCUCUGCUGGCUCAUUUGAUGGCUAUGGGGCAGCAGCUCGGCCUGCCACCACCUCUAGGUGUUUCUUCAGCUUCUCCAACCCCAAGGCUGGCCGUGUAACUCAUGACUUUUGCCUUCCACCAUGAUUGUGAGGCCUCCCUAGCCACACUGAACUACAGUUCUUCUUUCCCUUUAUUAAAAGCUCCACAGAAACUUCCUAGGAUCUUGCUGACUUCUAAUGCUUACUUAAAAAGUUCCAUGG